AGCGAACGCUGGCGGCAGGCCUAACACAUGCAAGUCGAACGAACCCUUCGGGGCUAGUGGCGGACGGGUGCGUAACACGUGGGAACGUGCCCUUAGGUUCGGAAUAACUCCGGGAAACUUGUGCUAAUACCGGAUGAGCUCUUCGGGGGAAAGAUUUAUCGCCUUUGGAUGGGCCCGCGUUGGAUUAGCUAGUUGGUAGGGUAAAAGCCUACCAAGGCGACGAUCCAUAGCUGGUCUGAGAGGAUGAUCAGCCACACUGGGACUGAGACACGGCCCAGACUCCUACGGGAGGCAGCAGUGGGGAAUAUUGGACAAUGGGCGAAAGCCUGACCCAGCCAUGCCGCGUGAGUGAUGAAGGUCUUAGGGUUGUAAAGCUCUUUCACCCGGGAUGAUAAUGACAGUACCGGGAGAAUAAGCCCCGGCUAACUUCGUG
This 433-nucleotide ribosomal RNA is filed under the name uncultured bacterium. RNAcentral's name for it is "partial 16S ribosomal RNA". It matches the Rfam family "Bacterial small subunit ribosomal RNA", at positions 29 to 507 of the family's 1533-position model. The record is from RNAcentral.